This is a non-coding RNA of Macleaya cordata, 122 nucleotides long. The record is from Rfam. NCBI's taxonomy places the organism in Eukaryota, Viridiplantae, Streptophyta, Magnoliopsida, Ranunculales, Papaveraceae.
GAGAGCACAGUACGAUGAAAGUUGUAAGCUGUGUUCGGGGGGAGUUAUUGUCUAUCGUUGGCCUCUAUGCGAUUGGUUGUCUGUUACCGUGGUCUUGCUGUCUACUGGACGGUCGACCAUAU